Molecule: RNA transcript, 6272 nt
Organism: Haliaeetus leucocephalus (bald eagle)
Lineage: Eukaryota; Metazoa; Chordata; Aves; Accipitriformes; Accipitridae
Gene: ANKRD27
Gene name: ankyrin repeat domain 27 (VPS9 domain)
Exons: 30
Source: RefSeq, a predicted model, not a curated record
UUCCUGGAUGAAAGUGGGAAGCUUGCCUGUUGAAGGAUGAGCCACUCAUAUUGAAAUGUACUUUUCUGGAGGAAAAAAAAUUUCAGAAAAUCUCCUUGGAAUAUCUGAAGUCCAUAUGGCUAUGUAUGAUGAAGAUAUCUUGAAAAAUCCCUUUUAUUUGGCCAUUCAGAAGCGGCGUCCUGAUCUAUGCAGCAAAGUUGCAGAACUCCAUGGUAUUGUGUUAGUUCCAUGCAAAGGAAGCCUUUCAAGCAACAGUCUUUCUACUUGCCAGUUUGAAUCUUAUGUUCUGAAGCCACUGGAAGAAAAUUUCCAAACCUUAAAUGGAAAGGAGAUCUUCAUACAAGGAAACAUCAUCAUUUUAGGAACUGGUUUUAAUUAUCAUCUCUCAGUACCUGUUCUUUUUGAGGAAACAUUUUACAAUGAAAAAGAAGAAAGCUUUAGUAUAUUGUGCAUAGCUCAUCCAUUGGAAAAAACAGAAAGCUCAAGUCAAUCUACAGCUUCAUCAAACUCCUAUUCUCUUAAAAAUAUUGAAGAUGUUAGAGAAUUCUUGGGAAGGCACUGCGAGAGAUUUGAUAAAUACAUAGGAUCUUUCUAUAGAACAUUUAAAGAACAUGAAAGGAAGAGCCUCCGCCACUACAUAGAUUCUGUCAAUGCACUUUAUACCAAAUGUCUCCAGCAUCUUUUGAGAGAUUCGCACUUGAAGAUGCUUGCAAAGCAAGAAGAGCAGAUGAAUCUGAUUAAGCAAGCCGUUGAAAUGUAUAUCCACCAUGCUAUUUAUGAUCUAGUCUUCAAAUAUGUGGGGACCAUUGAGGCAAGUGAGGAUGCUGCUUUUAACAAAAUCACAAGGAGCCUUCAAGACCUGCAGCAAAAAGACAUUGGAGUGAAGCCUGAGUUCAGUUUUAAUAUACCACGUGCAAAGCGAGAACUGGGUCAGUUGAACAAAUGUACUUCCCCUCAACAGAAGCUACUUUGUCUACGAAAAGUGGUACAAAUUAUUAUGCAAUCUCCUAGCCAAAGAGUUAACAUGGAAACCAUGUGUGCAGAUGAUCUUCUCUCUGUUUUGCUGUAUUUACUUGUAAAAACAGAAGUCCCAAACUGGAUGGCCAACUUGAGUUACAUAAAGAACUUCAGGCUUUGCAGUUCAGUGAAGGAUGAAUUGGGAUACUGUCUAACCUCAAUUGAGGCUGCAAUAGAAUACAUACGACAAGGCAACCUCUCUGACAGAUCAACAGAAUCUGAGAGACUGUGUGACAAGCUGCUUUUAAGACAAAGGAUGAACUUGUUGUCCCAGAUGUCUGCUACUCCAAUAGACUGCUUAUUUAAGCAUAUUGCUUCAGGUAAUCAGGAAGAAGUGGAGCGAUUACUAAGUCAAGGUGACAGUGAUAAAGACACUGUACAGAAAAUGUGUCAUCCGCUCUGUUACUGUGACAAAUGUGAGAAGCUAGUUUCUGGGAAACUGAAUGAUCCUUCCAUUAUCACUCCAUUUUCCCGAGAUGACCGGGGAUAUACACCACUUCAUAUAGCUGCUAUUUGUGGGCAAACAUCACUAGUGGAUUUACUAGUAGCCAAAGGAGCCAUCGUCAAUGCUACAGAUUAUCACGGUUCAACUCCACUUCAUCUUGCCUGUCAGAAAGGAUAUCAAAAUGUUACACUUCUCUUAUUGCACUAUAAGGCAAGUACUGAUGUUCAGGACAAUAAUGGAAAUACUCCACUUCAUUUAGCCUGCACUUAUGGUCAUGAGGAUUGCGUCAAAGCUUUAGUCUACUAUGAUGUGCAUUCCUGUAGACUAGAUAUUGGUAAUGAAAAGGGAGAUACUCCUCUCCAUAUAGCUGCUCGUUGGGGCUAUCAAGGGAUCAUAGAAGUGCUUUUGCAAAAUGGGGCAAAUCCAGAAAUUCAAAACCGGAUGAAGGAGACUUCCCUACAGUGUGCAUUAAAUUCCAAGAUUUUGUCAUUGAUGGAAUUAAACUAUCUAACGUUUGAGAGAGGACAGAGUGCUUCUGAGUCAUCACUUAGGUCUCCUCAGCACUCAACAGAAACUUUCAGCAGAGGAUCAUCUAUCUCAAGCCUGUCAUCAGCAUCAACUGAUAUAAGGCAAGAAGAAGUAAAAAAUAGUUAUAAAGAGGUGGAAAAACUCCUAAGAGCAGUUGCUGAUGGAGAUCUGGAAAUGGUACGUUAUCUCUUGGAAUGGAUGGAAGAAGACUUAGAAGAUGAGGAUGACACAGCCAGUACAUCAAAACCAGAAUUCUGCCAUCCAUUAUGCCAGUGCCCAAAAUGUGGGCCAGCACAAAAGAAAUUUGCAAGGAUCUCUGCUAAUGGACUUGGAGUAAAUGUUUCAAACCAAGAUGGUUUUACACCAUUGCAUAUGGCUGCACUGCAUGGACACUCUGAACUUGUCUGUCUCUUGUUGAAACAUGGGGCCAGUAUCAGUGCCAAGAAUGCAAAACAUGCAGUUCCUCUUCAUCUAGCCUGCCAGAAAGGUCACUUCCAGGUGGUAAAGUGUCUGAUGGAUUACAAUGCUAAACAAAAUAAAAAGGAUAUAUAUGGAAAUACUCCUUUAAUUUAUGCAUGCUUGAAUGGUCAGUAUGAGACUACUGCCUUGUUGUUACAGCAUGGAGCUUCUGUUAACAUUUCUAAUGCCAAAGGAAAUACAGCACUGCACGAGGCCGUGAUAGGAAAGAAUGAAGCCCUGGUAGACUUGCUACUACAGAAUGGUGCAAUGACGCACAUAAGGAAUGAAAGGAACUGUACCCCUGCAGACUGUGCUGAGCCGAAUUCAAAUAUCAUUAAGUUGCUGGAAACAGCACCAAGCUGUGUAGCUACAUCAGCAGAGAGAGAAAAGGAGUCUGAGCAGCAUGCUACUAUCAAGUUAAGAAAAAAAGUGAAUUCUAAGCCAUGUGAGAAAGCCGAUGAUCCCAUAAGCAGACAACUUCAGCUGGUCCAAUCAAUUAACAGAUUUAACAAAGCAAAACAUUUACGGAGAACAAUAACAAGAGAUAAAAGUGUCCCUAAUUUUGACUAUCAGUUAUUGCAUCAGUUAGCUAUUAAAAGCUUUGAUAAAACCAAGUUAAAAUCUGUUGAAAAGCUGGACCGGAGCAAAGUUAAGAUUAUUGACACAGGAUGCAGUGGCGAGUUUGUGAAACAUGAUGACAUGAUAGAAGUCCCUCACAGGAGUAAAUUAAUGCACCGAAGACACACUGUUAAUGUGCCACUUUCAGCAGAGAAUGUCAGCGAUAAUAGUUUAUCCAGCCCUAGAAAUCCAAGUAUUUCACAAUCAAGAGACUGCUGUGAUGACGCGCUUUCAAAACAUUGACAAGAAAGUGUGAAUUUGAUGUCAAAAGCUGAGGAAUUAGGUGGUGUUAAUUUCAGUAACCUUUCACUGUAUAUCAAAGAAUUCAGUGACGCUUGCAAGCCUGCCUGCAGAACAGAAUACAAGGAUGACUCUUCAGCAGAAACAGAAUGUUCCUAGCACUUUCAAAGACUGAAUCCUCUGUUGAUGUUGGAGGCAUUUGAAGACUUCACCUUGUGUCUCUGUGUAACCUGAGGGAUCUGUUGGAAUUUACUCUGAAGUUCAGUAUGACCUUCUUUCCUCCUACAUUCGUGGAUUACUAUUGUUAGGUUGUGUGGUUUUGGAUUUAAGGCAUAGAGGUGUACAAUACAGAACUGUUAGUGAAAGCAAACGUUUUCAUGUAACUUCUUCUCUAGUUCUACAUUCCCAUUUAAAAAAAAAAAAGUAGGAUGGAUGUUAAGCUAUUAGGAGCCAAAGACCAAGAGGAGAGACAUAUGAACUAGUUUUUUUUCCUUCUUGUGACACUAUGAGGAUGACCUAGAGUAAGUAAGUCACUUAUCCUUACCUGUAGCAAAAAUAACCUAGAUAUUACUUAUAAAGCUUAAGAUACAAGUAAACUUUCAUAGAUCUGAUUUCCAAACUACAUAGUGAGAAUUUUGCUUGUGUUUUAAUUAUACUAUGCAUUUAACUAAAUGAUUCUUGUCUUAAGACUUCUUGACAAUAUAGAUGAGAAAAAUCAGUUUAUUAGCUUUUUAAUACUGGUGAUACUAUGCUACAGAAUGUAAGUACAGAAUAUACUGCUGUAACUACAGAACAUGAAUUAGCACAAUGACACUAUGUUCAGUAUCAAGUCUUUUUUCUUAAUCCUUAAUAAUAAGCACAGUGUGGUUGAAUAGCUUUGGAAACAAGUUUUAAGAUAGCUUAUUAAAUAAUUUUGAAAAUGGUUAGAGAUAAGCAUCAGAGGAUGUGAACUCCUUUAGAUACUUGCUUCUUUUCUAUUAAAGACAGAUUUUGAAUACAACAGGUUAUGGAAAACAACUUGUUCAACACUAUUUUCUAUGCAAGCAGUGACCCAGCUGCAACACUCCCAGGUUUCAGCCUUGAUAUGAAUUGUUAUAUAAUUAUUGGUCCAUUUUACUCAAAGAAUUAGCCAAGUGUUAAAGUAGCGCUUGCCUUUGGAACAACUUCUCUCCCUGCAAUGAAAUAUAAAAUUUGCAAGGAAAAAAAACAUAGUAGCUUACUAAGGCAACUUGGUGCAUAUUGCCUACUGUAUUUUUUAACAAAAUCUGUAUUUUAAGACAUCUAACAGGAGAAUAUUUUUUUUCUUUAGAGUUUUAUAGAAAAAGUAUACAUUUACUAGAAUUCACCUGAGUUUUCUAUUCUAUUACAGUAUCAGAACAGUUGUCCUUGUGAACCUGAGGCUACUUAAGUGACCAAGCCAUGCUUCAGUUUUAUUCAGUGUUCAGUCUAGGAUAAAGCUUAUUUCCAGGCAUUUUGGAUGUAUAGUGUGUGUAUUAAAAAAAAAACAACAAAACAAACACCAAAAAGCAAAACACUUGAAUCCAAACAGUUUCAUUAUAAUCUAAAUGAUGGAAAGAUGAUAACUAGCAAAUUAUUUAGGUAAAUGUAAUAGUUUGCAAGUUUCCUUUGACUUGCUUAACCAAGCUUGUAAUUAAAAAAUACCUUAAUAUUCAAAGAUACAAUGAUCAAAGGCUAAACUGGAAUAGGAUUUGAAGGGAGGUGCCCCUGGAAGCUUCCCCUAGCAAUCUGUAGUGCAAAUACACUGAAGUCAACUUCAUGAUGCUUACUUAUGAUUUGUCUGCAAAGCGUGUUACUGUAUGGUCCAGUUUAAUCUCCAAAAGGUUGUUAAGUUAAAAUAAAUCCAAAGUAUAACUUCACAUUUUGAUAACUGAGAUUCUGGAACAGCUGCUUUAGAAGAACAGCAAGGCAAUAAAGCUUACGUUGUUAGAAGUAGAAUUUGAUAAACUUAGGAAUGGGAAUAUGAAGCAUGGAUGCUUAGGAUGUAUCUGUAGCCCUACUGAGAAAACUUUUAAACCAUGUCACCACACCUUGACUUGAACCCCUUCACACUGGUAAAGGGUCAUUAGUCUAAAAAAAUGUAGCAUACACCCACAAUAUUACUGAAGUUAAGGAAUCCUAGUUACAAACACAGACAAGCAAAAUGCCCAGUCUAGUUCAAAUGAAACAAAAAUAACUGUUUAAAUACUUUUUAACCACAUUCACACAAGAUGAAAAACACCCACUAGAGCUCACUUUAAACAAUUUUAUUGUUUCAAAAACCACUGCAGUUGGGAAUCAUAUAUGUUCCUGUUAAAUUAUGUCAGAAAAGGGUUUUGUGGUGGUAGAGUGUUUAUAUCAGCACGUUACAGUAUUUAUCGUACUUAUUUCCAUAACCAUAUUUUUGAAUAAACGUAUAGCACAAGUUCAGUUUUACUUUAUGCAUGCAGGAGUUGCAGAAAGUGUAGGAAAAUGGUCUUUUUUUCAAGGUAAGAAACACUCCAGCCAUUUGAUAAGAAAUGGAGGUAGUUUUAAGAAUAUAAGAUACCAAGUGUCUGAACAGUGCUAUAUUACACAAUUAACUUGCUUUUUUUGAGAUAGCUUGAUUAUUUCAUAGGGGAAUGGUUCAACUGUAGGCUGGUUACAAUUUCUUUACAUGGACUGCCUGAUACGAAGUCCUCUGAUCCAAAUGCUACUUUGAUACCUUCACUUUAUUUUAUAAAUUUCCAGCAAGGACUUGAGAGCCAGUGAGCUGCUGGAUAGGCUUCCUUCAGGGCUCAGGAAAUCUUGUUUCUAACACUUCUGUGAUUUAAAGCCUGGAGGUAAGUUUUUAAACUCCUAGAGUUGCUGUUCACAGCUUUACACUUAGCUCCUCCUCAUGUUAUGGUAUCUCCAAUAGCAGCAAGUUAAGUGUGUGCAGCUGCUGAAAGCAUAGCUUACACACUGAGUAAGGGGCAACAAAAUGUUC